GACGAACGCUGGCGGCGUGCUUAACACAUGCAAGUCGAACGGAAAGGCCCUGCUUUUGUGGGGUGCUCGAGUGGCGAACGGGUGAGUAACACGUGAGUAACCUGCCCUUGACUUUGGGAUAACUUCAGGAAACUGGGGCUAAUACCGGAUAGGAGCUCCUGCUGCAUGGUGGGGGUUGGAAAGUUUCGGCGGUUGGGGAUGGACUCGCGGCUUAUCAGCUUGUUGGUGGGGUAGUGGCUUACCAAGGCUUUGACGGGUAGCCGGCCUGAGAGGGUGACCGGCCAAAUUGGAACUGGGAUACGGCCCAGACUCCUACGGGAGGCAGCAGGGGGGAAUAUUGCACAAUGGGCGGAAGCCUGAGGCAGCAACGCCGCGUGGGGGAUGACGGCCUUCGGGUUGUAAACCGCUUUCGCCUGUGACGAAGCGUGAGUGACGGUAAGGGGUAAAGAAGCACCGGCUAACUAC
RNAcentral lists this ribosomal RNA (465 nucleotides) under uncultured bacterium. RNAcentral describes it as "partial 16S ribosomal RNA". It matches the Rfam family "Bacterial small subunit ribosomal RNA", at positions 28 to 504 of the family's 1533-position model. The record is from RNAcentral.